AUUGAACGCUGGCGGCAUGCCUUACACAUGCAAGUCGAACGGCAGCACGGGUGCUUGCACCUGGUGGCGAGUGGCGAACGGGUGAGUAAUACAUCGGAACAUUUCCUGUAGUGGGGGAUAGCCCGGCGAAAGCCGGAUUAAUACCGCAUACGAUCUACGGAUGAAAGCGGGGGACCUUCGGGCCUCGCGCUAUAGGGUUGGCCGUGGGCUGAUUGGCUAGUUGGUGGGGUAAAGGCCUACCACGGCGACGAGCAGUAGAUGAUCUGGGAGGACGACCAGCCGCACGGGGAGUGGGACACGGACCAGAGUCCUGCGGGAGGCAGCAGUGGGGAAUUUUGGACAGUGGGCGAGAGCAUGAUCCAGCAAUGGCGCGUGUGUGACGAAGGCCUUGGGGUUGUGAAGAACUUUUGUCCGGAAAGAACUGCUUGGCCCUGAUACAGUCGGGGGAUGACGGUAACGGAAGAAUAAGCACCGGCUAACUACGUG
RNAcentral lists this ribosomal RNA (486 nucleotides) under uncultured bacterium. RNAcentral's name for it is "partial 16S ribosomal RNA". It matches the Rfam family "Bacterial small subunit ribosomal RNA", at positions 28 to 507 of the family's 1533-position model. The record is from RNAcentral.